AACUAAGCUUGUUCUUGGUAUAAGCUUUCGUGUGCAUGCACACUUCUUCAGAUAUCUGAAGAAGUAUCUGAAGAAGUGUGCAUGCACAUGAAAGCUUAUACCAAGAACAAACUUAGUUGG
Podarcis lilfordi (Lilford's wall lizard) is the source of this 120-nucleotide non-coding RNA. The record is from the annotation of a GenBank genome assembly. Lineage: Eukaryota; Metazoa; Chordata; Lepidosauria; Squamata; Lacertidae.